Molecule: non-coding RNA, 65 nt
Filed under: unclassified sequences
Description: L20-Deltaproteobacteria ribosomal protein leader
Rfam family: L20-Deltaproteobacteria ribosomal protein leader
Source: RNAcentral
AGUCGUGAACUGGGGGGACAUUUCCAGUCUCCCCCUCCAGAUCCGGCGCAAUACCACAGAAGGAG